UCACCGUUAUAUGCUUAAAAUAAGGGGCAGAGUAUAAGUUACUUUCCUUCUGUGUGAUUAUAUGUUGCUUCCUUGGCUGCUCCUAGCUUUUAUUUUCUUUUGGGAAUUCCUAUUUAAAAUUACUCAAAAACUACUAAAAGGUAAAUCGGGCUUACUACUCAAAAAGACCGGUCAGUUAAUAGAUAUUCAAAAAGAAAUUUCAACACUUCGUAAGGAAAUUAAUAGCAUAAGUCCUCAAGAUGCCUUUGUAGCUUACGCUAAGAAAAAUCGUAAGCUAAAUAGUUUACUAGUUUCUGAAAAGGAUCUAAUUAAGUUGCACUCGAAAGCGCAGUCUGCUCUCAUUUCCAAGUUAGUAUUAACGCACAACAUACUAUAUCGUGCCGUUUACCUUUUCCUGAUUUAUUAUUACUAUACUAUCCCUAUUUUUGAAAUUCCCAAAGAUUUGAUGUACCCCUUUCCUCAUGUUUUUGCCUUUCCUGGUUGUAAAAAAGGAGAAAUUUCCAUUGCUUUCUGGCUUUAUAACUGCAUCUCGUUCUUUAAUGGAAUGAGCUUGUUAGCCUCGCCUUCCUUUAUUCCAAUUUUUUA
Long non-coding RNA from Zophobas morio, 585 nucleotides. RefSeq lists it as uncharacterized. The record is from RefSeq and is a predicted model, not a curated record. Lineage: Eukaryota; Metazoa; Arthropoda; Insecta; Coleoptera; Tenebrionidae. The transcript has 5 exons.